RNAcentral lists this ribosomal RNA (406 nucleotides) under uncultured bacterium. RNAcentral's name for it is "partial 16S ribosomal RNA". It matches the Rfam family "Bacterial small subunit ribosomal RNA", at positions 30 to 526 of the family's 1533-position model. The record is from RNAcentral.
AUUGAACGCUGGCGGCAGGCUUAACACAUGCAAGUCGAGCGAGCGGCGGACGGGUGAGUAAUGUCUGGGAAACUGCCUGAAGGACUGGGAUAACUACUGGAAACGGUAGCUAAUACCGCAUACCAUCAGAUGUGCCCAGAUGGGAUUGGCUAGUAGGUGGGGUAAUGGAUCACCUAGGCGACGAUCCCUAGCUGGUCUGAGAGGAUGACCAGCAACACUGGAACUGAGACACGGUCCAGACUCCGACGGGAGGCAGCAGUGGGGAAUAUUGCACAAUGGGAGCAAGCCUGAUGAAGCCAUGCCGCGUGUGUGAAGAAGGCCUGCGGGUUGUAAAGCAAUUUCAUCGAGGAGGCGUUACUCGAAGAAGAAGCACCGGAUAACUCCGUGCCAGCAGCCGCGGUAUUUC